UACGAAGGGGGCUAGCGUUGCUCGGAAUUACUGGGCGUAAAGCGCGUGUAGGCGGUUGUCCAAGUUGGAUGUGAAAGCCUUGAGCUCAACUCAAGAAAUGCAUUCAGGACUGGAUGACUAGAGGACCGGAGAGGAUAGUGGAAUUCCCAGUGUAGUGGUGAAAUACGUAGAGAUUGGGAAGAACACCAGUGGCGAAGGCGGCUAUCUGGACGGUUUCUGACGCUAAGACGCGAAAGCGUGGGGAGCAAACAGG
Molecule: ribosomal RNA, 253 nt
Filed under: uncultured bacterium
Lineage: Bacteria
Description: partial 16S ribosomal RNA
Rfam family: Bacterial small subunit ribosomal RNA
Source: RNAcentral